GACGAACGCUGGCGGCGUGCUUAACACAUGCAAGUCGAGCGGUAAGGCCCUUUCGGGGGUACGACGAGCGGCGAACGGGUGAGUAACACGUGGGUGACCUGCCCUUAGCUCUGGGAUAAGCCUGGGAAACUGGGUCUAAUACCGGAUAUGACUCCAUGACGCAUGUUGUGGGGUGGAAAGCCUUGUGCGGCUAGGGAUGGGCCCGCGGCCUAUCAGCUUGUUGGUGGGGUGAUGGCCUACCAAGGCGACGACGGGUAGCCGGCCUGAGAGGGCGACCGGCCACACUGGGACUGAGACACGGCCCAGACUCCUACGGGAGGGCAGCAGUGGGGAAUCUUGCGCAAUGGGCGAAAGCCUGACGCAGCGACGCCGCGUGAGGGAUGACGGCC
RNAcentral lists this ribosomal RNA (389 nucleotides) under uncultured bacterium. RNAcentral describes it as "bacterial SSU rRNA". It matches the Rfam family "Bacterial small subunit ribosomal RNA", at positions 28 to 416 of the family's 1533-position model. The record is from RNAcentral.